RNAcentral lists this long non-coding RNA (733 nucleotides) under Carica papaya (papaya). Its description in RNAcentral is "long non-coding RNA (CPAP_LNC009202)". The record is from RNAcentral. Lineage: Eukaryota; Viridiplantae; Streptophyta; Magnoliopsida; Brassicales; Caricaceae.
AAGCAUGAAGAGCCAAAAUAUGAGGAACCCAAGUUUCCUGAGCCAAAAUAUGAGAAACCAAAAUACGAAGAGCCAAAAUAUGAGGAACCUAAGUUUCCUGAACCGAAGUACCAAGAGCCAAAAUAUGAGGAACCGAAGCACGAGAAGCCAAAACAUGAGGAACCGAAGCGCGAAGAGCCGAGGCAUGAGGAACCGAAACACGAAGAGCCAAAACAUGAGGAACCGAAACACGAAGAGCCAAAAUAUGAGGAACCUAAGUUCCCUAAACCAAAACACGAAGAGCCAAAACAUGAGGAACCGAAGCACGAAGAGCCAAAAUAUGAGAAACCAAAGUACGAAGAGCCAAAACAUGAGGAACCAAAGCACGAACAACCAAAAUAUGAGGAACCGAAGCAUGACGAGCCAAAACAUAAGGAACCGAAGCAUGAAGAGCCAAAACAUGAUGAACCGAAGCACGAACAACCAAAAUAUGAGGAACCGAAGCAUGACGAGCCAAAACAUAAGGAACCGAAGCACGAAGAGCCAAAACAUGAGGAACCAAAACACGAAAAGCCAAAAUAUGAGGAACCGAAGUAUGAAGAGCCAAAAUAUGAGGAACCAAAAUAUGAGGAACCGAAACACGAAGAGCCAAUACAUGAGAAACCUAAGUUUCCUGAACCAAAAUAUGAAGAGCCAAAAUAUGAGAAACCCAAGUUUCCUGAACCAAAGCGUGAAGAGCCAAAACAUAAGGAGC